This is a long non-coding RNA of Xenopus laevis (African clawed frog), 1710 nucleotides long. RefSeq lists it as uncharacterized. The record is from RefSeq and is a predicted model, not a curated record. NCBI's taxonomy places the organism in Eukaryota, Metazoa, Chordata, Amphibia, Anura, Pipidae. The transcript is spliced from 2 exons.
UACAAUAUGUCGUGUUAUUUAUAAAAUUAUGGAAUGGUAGAAAUAUAUACUAAUGCUAUUCCUUCUCCUUUCAGAUAAAAACUUUGUUAUGAGAUCCCUUCAGGGACAGAUAUUCACCUUUAUAUUUCAUCACUUCCAGCACUACGUGAAGUCAAAAUAAAGGACUACCACUUAUGGACUUUAACUGAUCUUUUAUUAUGUUCUUUUUGAUGGGCAUUUUUGAUAAAAAUAUUUUCACUAAAUUUUUCUACUAAACAGGUUUUUACUGCAAUAUCUUUUAACAUUGUCCUUUUUAACUGCAUUUUCCACUAUGAAAUUUUAUAUCAGUGUAUUGUUAAUUGGCACCUGGAUGCAUAUUUUUUCACUUUAACAUUGCAUUUUAAAUGGCAUCUUGAUAUGUAAAAAUCUUUUUCAAUGCAAAGUACUUUUUUCACAGCAAUGCUUGUUAAAUAUGCUAAUUUGUUAAUUGCACACCCUUUAAAUCAUGUCUGCACUUGUCCACACUAUGCUUGACAAAGGGGCGUGACCCCGAAACGUUGCACUACUGCAUAAUAAAAUUGCAAGGGCUUGCCCUGCUACUACAAUUCCUGUGUGCCGGUGAAAUUCUUCUUACCCUUGUUGUGAGGCUGCCGAUUCCUCUAUCACUGGGCACCAGGAUAAGAACCUUUGGGAGUGUGUGGUGUGCGGCUUCUCCAUAUUCUAUUGGACAACACAGAGUUAUCCAAUAUUGUAUUCCAUCACCACUACCCACAUCACUAACCUGGCAAUGAUCGUUCUAUAUGAGGAACUUGCAAAUCGAUUGAAGAAAUCAAUUGGCAACAAAGGUUGCGGAGUUUCAAUUGCUGAAUGUGUGUAACUUUAUCGAUCAUUGGAUACAAUUGACAGGAGUAGUUUCUAUGGCGCCUAGAGCUCACAGUCACAUGACGCUUCUUUUAAAUAACACACCAUUUCCGGUUUUCCGACCUCUUGACAAAGCCACGUUUGUGGCGAAACGGCUGUCGAGGUGCAGCGCAUGCUGUGUAUGUGAGGAUCCCCUUACGCAGGUCUAAAGUGCCAGGACUGCCACGGAUAAUUCUCACGGAACCGCAGUGGAGACGUCACCACACGCCACCUCACGGACACAUAGUGGGGCCACUCUCGGACUUUCGUUUGGUCGGUAAUAUCUUUACAUUUUUAUUGAGCAGGUCACGCUGUGAGAUAUUAAUAUCUUCAGACACGCCACUCAGGCGUUUUUUGGCAAAUCCAAAUGUCUGCAUCCACCCACACAGGAUUGGGUUCAUCGUGAAGGUUCUGGUUAAUACUGCAGGUGCAUCCCCCUCAACAUCUAACGGUGCAAGCACACCGACAUCUUGAGGAGACUUGUGCUAGAGGGGUGCCCCACACAUAUUUGGCGACUUUUGCACAUUUCAGACCUGGGGAUAUAUGAUCAUUAUGUCUUGGCCACAACUAAUUGAAUAUUAGUACCGGACUGUCUGGGACUGCUUACUCUCUCAAAAAAUUGAGAUUGUGGUUCAUUAUUGGAGCGCUCCGUUUUGGUUCCAGAUACGCUACUUUUACAUUACAGCAUACAAAGUGCUAUCUAUGUUGUGGUCUUGUGAGACCAUUACAAGGGAUCCCUUUUGCACAUGCAGCACUGCUUAGUUUUAUUUUAAUUGGUUUUUAAUUUGAUAUUGGCAUAGUGUUGAAAAAUAAAUAUUGCCUUUUACCAUA